Molecule: ribosomal RNA, 429 nt
Filed under: Verrucomicrobiota bacterium
Lineage: Bacteria; Pseudomonadati; Verrucomicrobiota
Description: Verrucomicrobia bacterium partial 16S ribosomal RNA
Rfam family: Bacterial small subunit ribosomal RNA
Source: RNAcentral
UAGGGAAUCUUCGGCAAUGGGGGGAACCCUGACCGAGCAACGCCGCGUGAGUGAAGAAGGUUUUCGGAUCGUAAAGCUCUGUUGUUAAGGAAGAACGAGUGUGAGAAUGGAAAGUUCAUGCUGUGACGGUACUUAACCAGAAAGGGACGGCUAACUACGUGCCAGCAGCCGCGGUAAUACGUAAGGUCCGAGCGUUGUCCGGAAUCAUUGGGCGUAAAGGGUACGUAGGCGGAUAAGCAAGUUAGAAGUGAAAUCCUAUAGCUCAACUAUAGUCAUCUUUUAAAACUGCUCAUCUUGAGGUAUGGAAGGGAAAGUGGAAUUCCUAGUGUAGCGGUGAAAUGCGCAGAUAUUAGGAGGAAUACCGGUGGCGAAGGCGACUUUCUGGCCAUAUACUGACGCUGAGGUACGAAAGCGUGGGUAGCAAACAGG